Molecule: ribosomal RNA, 497 nt
Filed under: uncultured bacterium
Lineage: Bacteria
Description: partial 16S ribosomal RNA
Rfam family: Bacterial small subunit ribosomal RNA
Source: RNAcentral
GAUGAACGCUGGCGGCGUGCCUAAUACAUGCAAGUCGAGCGAACGGACGAGAAGCUUGCUUCUCUGAUGUUAGCGGCGGACGGGUGAGUAACACGUGGAUAACCUACCUAUAAGACUGGGAUAACUUCGGGAAACCGGAGCUAAUACCGGAUAAUAUUUUGAACCGCAUGGUUCAAAAGUGGAAGACGGUCUUGCUGCCACUUAUAGAUGGAUCCGCGCUGCAUUAGCUAGUUGGUAAGGUAACGGCUUACCAAGGCAACGAUUCAUAGCCGACCUGAGAGGGUGCUCGGCCACACUGGAUCUGAGACACGGCCCAGACUCCUACGGGGGGCAGCAGUAGGGAAUCUUCCGGGAUGGACGAAAGCCUGACGGAGCCACGCCGCGUAAGUGAUGAAGGUCUUAGGAUCGUAGAACUCUGUUAUUAGGGAAGAACAUAUGUUUACGUACCUGUGCACAUCUUGACGGUACCUAGUCAGAAAGCCACGGCUAACUACGUG